UCUAAUAAAAUUAUGAAAUUUUUUUCAGGACCUGAAGAUGAAUUAUGAAAGGGUGUGACAAGUAUCAGUAAUGCAGGAAGACGCAGAGGUAGAGCAAGAAGAGUAGUGAAAAGAGAGACCUAAAUAAGGAGCAAAUUAUUGGCAUGGGAAAAAUUCCGAUACAAUUUCCUGGUCUGAACACUUUUGUGUUUAGAGGAAAAGAAUUAAUUCAACAGCUAAAACUGCUUUUAAAUCUUGAAAGAAAGCAAAAACUUAUGGAAUUACCACAAAAUUAGACCAGACCAAUGCAAAUAAAAUUAUCGCCAUUGGAAUGUGGUUGGAGGAGUGUUACAAUGAAUGGCAGAAGCAUUGAAUCAGAUCUUAUUGGAAAAGAUACAUUUGAAAGUUUUGAAACCUGGAUUUUGGAAAACAAAAUGAUAACUUGUAUGACCAGUAAUUUAGCACGUAAGACUAGAAUCAAUUUAUUUUAUAGUAACUGGGAAUGGAAAUGGAUUGGCUGGAUUUGCGUUAUCAAAAGCCAAAGCAUCCCUAAAGACGAUUAAAAAUAGGUCUGGUCAAAGAUUAAUGUAUAUUCCUACAUAUAAGAAACACACUGUGUUACAUGAUUUCUUUACACAGUUUGAGAAUAUAAAAAUAUUUGUAAAGAAAAUUCAU
RNAcentral lists this long non-coding RNA (654 nucleotides) under Camponotus floridanus (Florida carpenter ant). RNAcentral describes it as "uncharacterized LOC112638578, transcript variant X1". Lineage: Eukaryota; Metazoa; Arthropoda; Insecta; Hymenoptera; Formicidae. The record is from RNAcentral.